This 516-nucleotide ribosomal RNA is filed under the name uncultured bacterium. RNAcentral's name for it is "bacterial SSU rRNA". It matches the Rfam family "Bacterial small subunit ribosomal RNA", at positions 9 to 526 of the family's 1533-position model. The record is from RNAcentral.
GAGUUUGAUCCUGGCUCAGGAUGAACGCUGGCGGCGUGCUUAACACAUGCAAGUCGAACGGGAAACCUUUUAUUGAAGCUUCGGCAGAUUUAGAUUGUUUCUAGUGGCGGACGGGUGAGUAACGCGUGGGUAACCUGCCUUAUACAGGGGGAUAACAGUCAGAAAUGACUGCUAAUACCGCAUAAGCGCACAGAGCUGCAUGGCUCGGUGUGAAAAACUCCGGUGGUAUAAGAUGGACCCGCGUUGGAUUAGCUAGUUGGUGAGGUAACGGCCCACCAAGGCGACGAUCCAUAGCCGGCCUGAGAGGUUGAACGGCCACAUUGGGACUGAGACACGGCCCAGACUCCUACGGGAGGCAGCAGUGGGGAAUAUUGCACAAUGGGGGAAACCCUGAUGCAGCGACGCCGCGUGGAGGAAGAAGGUCUUCGGAUUGUAAACUCCUGUUGUUGAGGAAGAUAAUGACGGUACUCAACAAGGAAGUGACGGCUAACUACGUGCCAGCCGCCGCGGUAAUUC